UACGUAGGUUGCAAGCGUUGUCCGGAUUUACUGGGCGUAAAGAGCGCGCAGGCGGUCGUUCAAGUCGCGUGUGAAAGCCCCCGGCUCAACUGGGGAGGGUCACGCGAUACUGAUCGACUCGAAGGCAGGAGAGGGAAGUGGAAUUCCCGGUGUAGUGGUGAAAUGCGUAGAUAUCGGGAGGAACACCAGUGGCGAAGGCGACUUCCUGGCCUGUUCUUGACGCUGAGGCGCGAAAGCUAGGGGAGCAAACGGG
Molecule: ribosomal RNA, 253 nt
Filed under: uncultured bacterium
Lineage: Bacteria
Description: partial 16S ribosomal RNA
Rfam family: Bacterial small subunit ribosomal RNA
Source: RNAcentral